This 497-nucleotide ribosomal RNA is filed under the name uncultured bacterium. RNAcentral's name for it is "partial 16S ribosomal RNA". It matches the Rfam family "Bacterial small subunit ribosomal RNA", at positions 28 to 507 of the family's 1533-position model. The record is from RNAcentral.
GACGAACGCUGGCGGCGUGCCUAAUACAUGCAAGUAGAACGCUGAAGAGAGGAGCUUGCUCUUCUUGGAUGAGUUGCGAACGGGUGAGUAACGCGUAGGUAACCUGCCUUGUAGCGGGGGAUAACUAUUGGAAACGAUAGCUAAUACCGCAUAGCAAUGGAUGACACAUGUCAUUUAUUUGAAAGGGGCAAUUGCUCCACUACAAGAUGGACCUGCGUUGUAUUAGCUAGUAGGUGAGGUAAUGGCUCACCUAGGCGACGAUACAUAGCCGACCUGAGAGGGUGAUCGGCCACACUGGGACUGAGACACGGCCCAGACUCCUACGGGAGGCAGCAGUAGGGAAUCUUCGGCAAUGGGGGCAACCCUGACCGAGCAACGCCGCGUGAGUGAAGAGGGUUUUCGGAUCGUAAAGCUCUGUUGUAAGUCAAGAACGGGUGUGAGAGUGGAAAGUUCACACUGUGACGGUAGCUUACCAGAAAGGGACGGCUAACUACGUG